Molecule: long non-coding RNA, 1178 nt
Organism: Poecile atricapillus (Black-capped chickadee)
Lineage: Eukaryota; Metazoa; Chordata; Aves; Passeriformes; Paridae
Exons: 3
Source: RefSeq, a predicted model, not a curated record
UCAGCCGAGCCCGCCGGCGUUCGUGUGCCUCUGCUCGCCGUCUUCCUUUAGUUAUCGUCCCUGUGGGACUCGCCGGGCGCGAGUGUGCACAAUAACCCCGUGUAGCGUUCCAGGCUUGGGGAAGAGUGGCUGGAAGGACCUGGAAAAGGACCGGGGGGUGCUGGUCACAGCGACUGCGCUGAGCCAGGUGUGCCCGGGAGGCCAAUGGCAUCCUGGCCUGGAGCAGCAAUAGCGUGGCCAGAGGAGCAGGGCAGGGAUUGUCCCUCGGUACUCGGCACUGAAAACCCCAGUUCCUGUGAAGCUGUGAAGACUGGGACUGCAGGGUCUCUCCUGUGUGGCCCUGGCUGCUGCCAAGCAGCAUUACUGGCUUGGGCAUUUGGUCAUUGUUGGUGUGGCAGUGGGAGAGCUGGAAGCCCGGCUGUGUGCUGGUGACGGACCGACUGCGCUGAGGUUCAGCCCCUGCCCAGUAACCCAGCACAGAAGAUGCAUUCCCUGCCUUCUGUUUUUCUUUUGUUCCAACUUUGUCAUCCUAAACUGGAUGAUGCCUGCAGCCAUCUGCUGCAUUUGGUCUGCUGCGGCAUCAUGCCGACUCAAUUAUGCACCGCUCUGGGAGAACAGCAGGCUGGUUUUCCCUUCAGCUUUGAAAGAGUGUUUUUCCCUUGCACAGGAAGGCUGAGGGAAGUAGGAGCCUCCAGAAGCAAGCUGGAUAAGCUGUUCCCAGCCAUGUCAGGUGGACUCUGUGUCUGUGCAGUCCAGGUGUGGUGGGAGAGCUGCCAGGCUGUCACCGUGCCCGAGAUGCUGCAUCCUGGGACUCAGAGCUCCGAUGCCGUGGCAGAUGUACUCCCUUGUGGCAGCACUUAACUGUUUGGCACUUUUAAGCUUUAUCACCUCAUUUACUUUUUGUGGAUAUAUAUUAAACCAAGGGUAUUUCUAUUAAACCAAAUGUUUUGGGAUGAUAUGAAAUAAAAAAGGAGAUGGUGCAAGUGUAAAUUACAUUUGCUUUUUUUCAAAACAGCCAGGAGGGGAGGGCUGCAAAGAAAUGAUGUUGAUCCUUACAGUGGACUUCUAGCAAAGUUGUUUUGUUAUGCUUUCAUACUCAGAGAGAAGUGACCAUGCAGGAUUUAUGUGUGUGAUUCAGCUUGUGACAUCAGUCUUCUUCCUGUGGUGGGCAGAGGAGA